CAUUCACACACAGUAAGUCGCUCUGGAUAAGAGCGUCUGCUAAAUGACUAAAA
Molecule: non-coding RNA, 53 nt
Organism: Salmo salar (Atlantic salmon)
Lineage: Eukaryota; Metazoa; Chordata; Actinopteri; Salmoniformes; Salmonidae
Source: Rfam